CCUACGGGUGGCUGCAGUGAGGAAUAUUGGUCAAUGGGCUUACGCCUGAACCAGCCAAGUCGCGUGAGGGAAGACUGCCCUAUGGGUUGUAAACCUCUUUUGUCAGGGAGCAAUUGGAGCUACGUGUAGCGUUAUCGAGAGUACCUGAAGAAAAAGCAUCGGCUAACUCCGUGCCAGCAGCCGCGGUAAUACGGAGGAUGCGAGCGUUAUCCGGAUUUAUUGGGUUUAAAGGGUGCGUAGGCGGAAAGCCAAGUCAGAGGUAAAAUUGCGGGGCUUAAACCUGCUUCUGCGUUUGAAACUGGCGUUCUAGAGUGCAGGAGAGGUAUGCGGAAUGCGUGGUGUAGCGGUGAAAUGCGUAGAUAUCACGCAGAACUCCGAUUGCGAAGGCAGCAUACCGG
This 398-nucleotide ribosomal RNA is filed under the name uncultured bacterium. RNAcentral's name for it is "partial 16S ribosomal RNA". It matches the Rfam family "Bacterial small subunit ribosomal RNA", at positions 338 to 732 of the family's 1533-position model. The record is from RNAcentral.